This 516-nucleotide ribosomal RNA is filed under the name uncultured bacterium. RNAcentral's name for it is "bacterial SSU rRNA". It matches the Rfam family "Bacterial small subunit ribosomal RNA", at positions 12 to 518 of the family's 1533-position model. The record is from RNAcentral.
UUCGAUUCUGGCUCAGAACGAACGCUGGCGGCGCGCUUAAGCAUGCAAGUCGAACGGCAAGAGGUAGCAAUACCUCCUAGAGUGGCGGACUGGUGAGUAACACGUGGGUGACAUACCCUUCAGAUGGGGAUAGCUAUUAGAAAUAGUAGAUAAUACCGAAUACGAGCACAGGGGUUAGAGAUCUGUGAGGAAAGGAGCUAAGGCUCCGCUGAAGGAAUGGCCUGCGGCCCAUUAGCUAGUUGGUGAGGUAAGAGCCCACCAAGGCGAUGAUGGGUAUCCGGCCUUAGAGGGUGAACGGACACAUUGGGACUGAGAUACGGCCCAGACUCCUACGGGAGGCAGCAGCUAAGAAUAUUCCGCAAUGGACGAAAGUCUGACGGAGCGACGCCGCGUGGAUGAAGAAGGCCGGAAGGUUGUAAAAUCCUUUUGAAACUGAAGAAUAAGCGUUGUAGGGAAUGACAGCGUGGUGACAGUAGGUUUUGAAUAAGCAACGGCUAAUUACGUGCCAGCAGCGGC